Long non-coding RNA from Gasterosteus aculeatus (three-spined stickleback), 1920 nucleotides. The record is from Ensembl. Lineage: Eukaryota; Metazoa; Chordata; Actinopteri; Perciformes; Gasterosteidae.
AUGCAAUCGAGGCGGUCUGAGCACAGUCACAGGCGGCAAUACCGCGACAGAAGUCCAAGGCUAAAGGACGACUAUGAUCAUAGAUGGGAAGAAAGGCGUGAACCUCCGAGAGAUCCACCGCAGGAUUCAUAUCAGAAAUAUGGUGGAAAUGGCUGUAGUAGCAAAGAGCGGACAAGCAGAAGUAGACAAUACAGUGACUCGCCUAAGAUGCUGUACAGCGAAGACUCUUUGAACAGAGACUUGAGCAGAAAGACCUCAGCGAGGAGACGUAUGUCUUCCCCUGAUUGGGGUUCUUUUGAAAAGAAAAGUCAAAGAAAUGCAGAGGAUGGUAACAGGUACAGGCUCGAGCCUGAGAACGAUACAACCAGGCGGUCACCCAACAGUUUUUCACGGGCGCACGUGACAAAGGAUUUUAAACAAAUGCUAACACAAGAAGAGGAUUUCCAACACAGGAAAACACCUCAAGACUCCAGGCACAAAUAUGUGCAUGAUGAGUUCACGUAUAGGCAACAACAGGAUAACUGCAGACAAUCGUCUGGAUAUUACAAAGAUAGAGUGGGUCACCAAAGGAGCCGAGAUCGUUCACAAGAGAGGAAGUCACGUGAUCGCUCCAAGAAGUGUUAUGUCAAACCCAGAGUGCGGAAUGACAGCCCCUCCCUGGAUCAUGAGGAGUAUCGUCAAAAUAUAGGACGAUUUCCAUUGAGUGCAUCUUCUGGACAGUUGUUUGAGAGUGAUGUCACCAACCAAAGUGCUGUUGUACCAGAGCAGGAGUCAACCGUGGGUUUCCAGCGUUUCCUUAAUGUGCUCAACAAGGGUGUAAAUGUUGCCACACUCACCAAAAUAGUGACUCAGUCCUCAACAGAAGUGAGUGAUCGGUCAAGUCCUCCUUCUUUCGUGAACACUGAUUUUUCCUGGUCUCCCAGUUAUGCUGAAGGGCAACAUGGAAGCCACCAAAAUACCGGCCAUUGGAGUGACAGCGAAGGAUUUCAGAGACUGGCUUCUUCACAGCCUCGUGAGCGGUCAUUUAGCCCAAGGAGGCAGUCUCUGUCUGACGAAAAGUCUGUGCAAAGGGGCAACGAAGAACCAAGUAACUUAAGCUCCAACAGUAGAUCCAAGUGCCCCUCAGGAGAACAAAAGAUAACACUGUCUCCUGAAGAGGAGCACAAGCAGAGGCAAAUGCAGAGUGUUUUGCAAGCCAUUGGCAUGAAUUUGGGAUCUGAGGAGCUGGGCCAGAUGUCUCAUCGGAUCCAAGAGCGGUUAUAUGGAAAAAAGGAUAGAGACUGCAAUCGUAGAGAAAGCAGGGAAAUGGAUACCAGGCGAGCGUUUUCACCAAGACCUGACAGUCGAUCAUCAUCCUCAUCAAGCAGAUCUAGUUAUAGUCCGUUAAAUCAGAAGUAUUACAAGAAAAAAGACUCCUACAGCGUUCAGAGUGAUGUAACCGAGGUACACCAAGACCCGGUGCAUGAGGGUGUUGAAUAUGGCCGGAAGAGCACAAGUAGCACUUUACAGCAGAGUGACAAAUGUGAGACUUGGUCUGAGGAAAGCACUGCUGCACCUCAAGCAUUUUCUCAAAAUUUAGCAUACACUUUCUUAAAGCCAUCUCCUACACCUGCAAUGCCGGUGUACUCGCCAGUAGACUGCUUAUCGGCUUCAUACCCACCCUUUCCUCCUAACUUGCCCCACCUUGGAACCGGGCUUCAUAUGCCUCCCUUCUUCCCAUUCCCCCAUGCACCACCUGUGAGUAUCUUUCCAGCAGUACUGGCUCAAGCAAGACACUUACUCCCACAGCGCGUUGGCAAUCCACCCUUUUUUAACUUGUCAGGUAAUAACCCCAAUCCACCACUGAACAACACACAGAAAUCAAAACCAUUGUCAAGGCCUCGCUUUUUGCAAGUCAUUGAAACCAAACAACCGGGAUGA